RNAcentral lists this long non-coding RNA (2588 nucleotides) under Mytilus galloprovincialis (Mediterranean mussel). Lineage: Eukaryota; Metazoa; Mollusca; Bivalvia; Mytilida; Mytilidae. The record is from RNAcentral.
AUAAUUGCUUAUAUUUUGAUUCAUUCACAUCACAAUUAUUUGUAAUAUUUACAAUUUUUGGCUCUGUUAUACAAAUGUUGAAUAUAUUCAGAUAUACAUGUACAUGUAUCAUAUUCUGCCUAAUAAAUAGUAAAUAGAUGCAUUCAACUUAAAAACACAGAUUGUCUAAUGAAUUUUAUAUGUUAUAAGCAUGUUAUACAGGCAAGCAAGGAGCAGAUCCAGGGUUUAGGAAAACGGGCCCAUAAUUGUCAGAAAUUGUAAAAUUAUCUAAAAUUAACAGCAAGUGAAGCUGAUUCUUGGCAUCUAAUUUCUGAUCAAAAGGGGAAGAAAAAGGGGGGUUCACACUUCACGAUCCUCCCUCCUUGAAUCUAACAAUGUAAACAUUAUAUUUUUCAAUCCCCUAAAAAAAUCAAAAUGUCAUAUUUAAAAUGUUCACGAAAAUGUAGUUAACAAAUGUCAUUUCUUAUUUUGAAGAAGGCCGAUCACUAAUAAAUAUUUGUAAAAAAGAUAACAAUUUCUCUUGCCAGGUUCAAUCAGCAAUAUGAACAUUGUUAAACAGGCAAAAUCUCAGGGAAAAUACAAACACCCAUAUCCAAAGUAAUAAAAAGUCACCAAAACAUUUAGGGGCUCAUUAUAUUUUAUAAAAGUUCAUCCUUGUGGUUUUAUUUUGUUUUAAAAAUUCACCAUUGACAAAAAUAAACUUAUAACUGGAGGAAUUUAGAAUAUUUAUCAAUGAUAACUAAAUACUUCCCCUCAAAGCAAGUUCAUAAAAUAAGUCAAUAAAUUUUCAAACAAAACAAACCUUUAAAUAUGAUCAUGAUGAUGGAAACUUAUAUCAUGUGAUCAUCAUGUGAUACAGGGUAGUGAACCUAACUUGUUCUAAGUUUUUCUUGAAAAGUAUAAUGGUGGACAAUCCCUUACAUCACAAAAUUCAGUAGUGAUACACUGAGCUAACAGGUAACUAAGUGCAUGAAUCUUUACCAUGACACACAUGAUGAUUGUAUGUCAUUUUUUUCAGCUCUAUAUAAAAUGGGUAAAAACAUUUUUUUGUGAAAAUUAUGACAAUUUUUUUCCUCAGUAUGUGCUUAAAGAUGACAACAUGUUUUAAAGGGAGACAAAUCACACAUAUCAUCCAUUAACAAAGCAACAUCAUGCAAUUAUUAAGAUAUGUAUUGCUAAUGGGCAAAAACUAUCUUCUUGCAUGCUUACAAUUAUGAAAUACACAAUUUUUUAGGGGGCAAUUUUCGUAUGAAAGAAAGCUAUAGUAUACAUGUAUAUAAGAUUGUGGGAUAGCCAUUGCUCUAAAAAAAAAUGAUUUGACAAACAUCAUUUGACGGACAACCUAAUAAAAGUUGAUUUCUUUCAACUGUUCCAUAAGCAAAAUGAUUAGUACAGAUAUUAACACUACCUUUAAACACAUGGGUAUACACUGUCAAUCAGAUACCUGCUAUACAGCUAUAAAAAAGAUGUGGUAAAAUUGCCAAUGAGACAAAUCUCCAUAAGAGACCAAAUGACACAGACGUUAACAACUUUACAUUUGUAGGUCACCAUACGGCCUUCAACAAUGAGCAAAGCCCAUACCGCAUAGUUAAAUGUUUGCUAUCAUACUGAUACCCGCAGAGGAGUUUUGUUAAGGAAAUCAGUAGUACCCGAGUUUUACGUAAAUCAGUUUGUAAAUAGCCAGUUUGUGAAUUUAGAGAUAAUCAACAAGAAAAUCAUUUUGUUUUCAUUUAAAUAUGAAAAGAUGCAAAAAACCAUCAGAUUAUGUUGUUUCUACCCUUAUAUUUAAAGAGAAAUAACUCAAAAUGUUAAGAAUCUACCAUACGGCAUUGAAUAAAACAAUAUAUUUUCCUCUGAACAUCAUGAACAUAGUAUAUCCUCUGAUACAUGCAUAUGCCCGUAUGUUUUACGUAGAAAUUCUCAUAAUGGGAAAAACUUCAAAUAUUCUUUAUAUAACAUUUAUCCAUUUCUUGUGAACAUUGAAUUCAACUUAAAAGUUUUCACCAUUUAUAAAAGACUGAAUAAUUGUAUUUUUCAGUUGUUUUUGAAGGAAGUGUUCAUGUACAUGUACUCGUGCAGAUAAAUAGAUGACUGAUAUUUAUCAGGCAAAAUAUGAAAACAACAAACAGAUUACACUUAAAGCUUUGCAACCAUUCAGAAUAUAUAUAUACAAUGUAUAUAAACAAAUAAACUCUAGGCUUGGCCUCAACUGCAGCAAAAUAAUUAAGCAAAAAAAAAGUCUUUGCAACUUUUGACUCAUUGCAUGAGAGACCAUAAAAACAAACAUGGCAUUCUGUAUAAUAAACAUAGCACUAUAGUGACUGACAUUACAGCUCUAACAAUAUGGCACCUUAUAACACUUAUACUAAGUACACAUGCUUAAAACUUAAUCAUAAACAAGUUUCAUAUGGCAUAUAUAAUGUACACAAUUGAUUUCAUCAAUUUCAUCUAUUUUCAACAGAUGAGUACUCUUGAAAGCUAAGAAAAUCUCUCAAAUGUUUUGGAAGGAACAAAUCGUCCAAAUGACUAUCUAUACUAGUAGGAAUGCUGUUUCUUAUGGCUAGUCGGCAAUGUUCUUUCAGAGAGAG